GAUGAACGCUGACAGAAUGCUUAACACAUGCAAGUCGGUGGCGGACGGGUGAGUAAUGUCUGGGAAACUGCCUGAUGGAGGGGGAUAACUACUGGAAACGGUAGCUAAUACCGCAUACCAUCAGAUGUGCCCAGAUGGGAUUAGCUAGUAGGUGGGGUAACGGCUCACCUAGGCGACGAUCCCUAGCUGGUCUGAGAGGAUGACCAGCCACACUGGAACUGAGACACGGUCCAGACUCCUACGGGAGGCAGCAGUGGGGAAUAUUGCACAAUGGGCGCAAGCCUGAUGCAGCCAUGCCGCGUGUGUGAAGAAGGCCUUCGGGUUGUAAAGCACUUUCAGCGGGGAGGCGUUACCCGCAGAAGAAGCACCGGCUAACUCCGUGCCAGCAGCCGCGGUAAUAC
Molecule: ribosomal RNA, 401 nt
Filed under: uncultured bacterium
Lineage: Bacteria
Description: partial 16S ribosomal RNA
Rfam family: Bacterial small subunit ribosomal RNA
Source: RNAcentral